CAGUCGCCGCGGGAAUACGUAGGAGGCAAGCGUUGUCCGGAAUUAUUGGGCGUAAAGGGCUCGCAGGCGGUUUCUUAAGUCUGAUGUGAAAGCCCCCGGCUCAACCGGGGAGGGUCAUUGGAAACUGGGAAACUUGAGUGCAGAAGAGGAGAGUGGAAUUCCACGUGUAGCGGUGAAAUGCGUAGAGAUGUGGAGGAACACCAGUGGCGAAGGCGACUCUCUGGUCUGUAACUGACGCUGAGGAGCGAAAGCGUGGGGAGCGAACAGGAUUAGAUACCCGGGUAGUCCCUGUCUCUUAUAC
Molecule: ribosomal RNA, 301 nt
Filed under: uncultured bacterium
Lineage: Bacteria
Description: partial 16S ribosomal RNA
Rfam family: Bacterial small subunit ribosomal RNA
Source: RNAcentral